Molecule: long non-coding RNA, 693 nt
Organism: Neofelis nebulosa (Clouded leopard)
Lineage: Eukaryota; Metazoa; Chordata; Mammalia; Carnivora; Felidae
Exons: 2
Source: RefSeq, a predicted model, not a curated record
GUCUGAGUUACUAAUGACUACUCUACGUUGACAUCGGUGUUGAAAUAGAAAUGAUAACGAGGCGCAUACCAUCGACAGGCAGAGGGACAGUGAGUGCGAAUUCCUGAGGUGGUGCUGUUCUGUUCGAAUCACGGAGCACAAACACCUAAUGCUAGGAGGGCGUCUGGAUCUACCGCAUCCCCUGCGCUUAGUUACUAGGUUGGGUGAGUGAGGGGUGUCAAGGGGCAGGUCAUCCAGAUGGACACUAGAAUUCUGGUCUCCCGGCCCCCACGGCAGCACACACUUCCUCUAUUAUUCCAGAAUCAACCGAAGCCAUCGGAGGUAUUUUCUCAGAUCUCCUGCUCAAUUUCCUCUCCCGAGUGAGGUGUGGUAAAAAGGAUACAGACCCAGAGGGAGUUGGAUUUACACACCUCACUGGAUUCCUACUGGGUGUGGCAAGUUGGACGGGUCAGUCGUCUUUGACACGCUGGUUUUUCCAGAAGUACUACUCUUAGUAAUGGCCAUCCCCAUUUUUGGUGGUGGGUUGGUAUAUACUCCCUGACCCAUUCUCCAUCCACUGUUUUUGAAUCUUUGCCAGUUUCAGUUUGUAGGAUGCGACUACCUCAGCAGGUCACCUCCAAAGUCUAGGGAAGACAGAUAGAAUUGUUUUGCAAUUUACCUGCUGUAGAAAAUAAAAUGCUUUUUUAACCUCAA